UACGGAGGGCGCGAGCGUUGUCCGGAAUCAUUGGGCGUAAAGGGCGCGUAGGUGGCCCGGUCAGUUCGUGGUGAAAGCGCGGGGCUCAACUCCGCGUCGGCCAUGAAUACUGCUGGGCUUGAGCACUGUAGAGGCAGGCGGAAUUCCGGGUGUAGCGGUGGAAUGCGUAGAGAUCCGGAAGAACACCGGUGGCGAAGGCGGCCUGCUGGGCAGUAGCUGACACUGAGGCGCGACAGCGUGGGGAGCAAACAGG
This 253-nucleotide ribosomal RNA is filed under the name uncultured bacterium. RNAcentral's name for it is "partial 16S ribosomal RNA". It matches the Rfam family "Bacterial small subunit ribosomal RNA", at positions 524 to 776 of the family's 1533-position model. The record is from RNAcentral.